GAAUUGGUGGUUCAGUGGUAGACUUUUUGCCUUCCAUACAGAAGACCUGGGUUUGAUUCCUGGCCAAGGUA
Molecule: transfer RNA, 71 nt
Filed under: Loxodonta africana (African savanna elephant)
Lineage: Eukaryota; Metazoa; Chordata; Mammalia; Proboscidea; Elephantidae
Rfam family: tRNA
About the family: Transfer RNA (tRNA) molecules are approximately 80 nucleotides in length.
Source: Rfam by way of RNAcentral